Andrographis paniculata is the source of this 1200-nucleotide long non-coding RNA. RefSeq lists it as uncharacterized. NCBI's taxonomy places the organism in Eukaryota, Viridiplantae, Streptophyta, Magnoliopsida, Lamiales, Acanthaceae. The record is from RefSeq and is a predicted model, not a curated record. The transcript is spliced from 3 exons.
GUGUUAGUCUAAAGGUGCCAAAAGAGGUGUGGGGCCAUUGAUGUGUAUUCUUGCAAAGGGACUCCUUUGGUUGAUCUCCAAGUGUUGGAUUUUCUCUUGCUGGCUGUUUAAAUCUCCAUCCCCUUCUACUCACCCCUAUUCAUGAUCAAUUACUUUGAUGGGAUUUGGAUCAAUUUACCUGGAUUCAGCAAAUUGGUUUUAAACAAUUUACAGGCAAGGCGAAGACGGAGUCGGUGGUUUCGACAUCUCCAUAUUGAGAUUACAUAUGUGUAUGUAUUUAUAUCUAUAUACUAUUUUUUAUUUUUUUAGUGAAAAAAUAGUUGAUAUAAAAUAAAAAUCGGUAUAUAUAACGUGCUUCAUCGUGACUUCAAAUAUAAACACAAAGCUGUCCCGUAAGGAAUGGAUUGGUGGUGUGAGGAUUGGACGUGUGAUCGUAAGGUCAUGGUUCAAACCCUGACGCUUCAGAUCACCUAUCACAUAUGAUUCCCAUAGUGUGACUUGCUUGUUGGGCUUAGUAAAUUAAAUUCUAUAAAAUAAAAAAUAUAUGUCUAAAUUAAUACUAUUGAAAUAUAUAUAUAUAUAUAUAUUUUAUUUUAACCCCAAGUGUUUGGGUCUUUUACUAAUAUUUGCUAAGUGCUAAUAUUCAAGUGGCACAACGUGGUAUUUCAGUUUGGUAUAUUUAGGAGAAAACGGCUGUGAAAUACACAGGCUGUUCUUUUUUUUUCUAAUUAUUCAGUUAUAUUUAUAUUUUUUUAAAAAUAGUAUAUUCAAUUAUCAUAUUAACCAAAAAUUAAAAUAAAAAUACAAAACUAAAUACACACGGGCAAUGUUUCAUUUAAAAACAUUUGUGAUUUAAAAAUAUAAUACUAUAUUAAAUAUUUUAAAAAUAAAAUAAAUUUUGACUCGUGGCCUGUUUGGUAAUAAUGGGCCAUAAUAUAUAUAUAUAUAUAUAUAUAACCUUUGUCUUGAACGGCCAUUAUUGAAGAUUAUUUUUUAAUAUAAAAAUUCGUCAUCACUAUUCGGUCGAGUACAUCUUCAGCCGAAUCUAAUACUUUUGCAAAUUAGAUCAAACAAAUUAAAUCUCAUUAGGGAAACUGACAGAUAGAUUAAUUAGUUGGUCGUGAAAACUACUGUAGCAAAUUAAUUAAAUUGUCCCAUGUUUUUUUUAAUUAAUUAAAUUAUAUCGAAUAAUCACCUUCC